RNAcentral lists this transfer RNA (77 nucleotides) under Bacillus velezensis YAU B9601-Y2. RNAcentral describes it as "tRNA-Val". It matches the Rfam family "tRNA". From Rfam's summary of the family: Transfer RNA (tRNA) molecules are approximately 80 nucleotides in length. Their secondary structure includes four short double-helical elements and three loops (D, anti-codon, and T loops). Further hydrogen bonds mediate the characteristic L-shaped molecular structure. tRNAs have two regions of fundamental functional importance: the anti-codon, which is responsible for specific mRNA codon recognition, and the 3' end, to which the tRNAs corresponding amino acid is attached (by aminoacyl-tRNA synthetases). tRNAs cope with the degeneracy of the genetic code in two manners: having more than one tRNA (with a specific anti-codon) for a particular amino acid; and 'wobble' base-pairing, i.e. permitting non-standard base-pairing at the 3rd anti-codon position. Lineage: Bacteria; Bacillati; Bacillota; Bacilli; Caryophanales; Bacillaceae. The record is from RNAcentral. RNAcentral also lists the same sequence under 1 other name.
GGAGGAUUAGCUCAGCUGGGAGAGCAUCUGCCUUACAAGCAGAGGGUCGGCGGUUCGAGCCCGUCAUCCUCCACCAU